GAUGAAGAACGUAGCGAAAUGCGAUACUUGGUGUGAAUUGCAGAAUCCCGUGAACCAUCGAGUCUUUGAACGCAAGUUGCGCCCGAAGCCAUUAGGCCGAGGGCACGUCUGCCUGGGCGUCACACGUCGUUGCCCCCCCAUCUACUCCUUCGGGAUUGCGGGGGGCGGAUGAUGGCCUCCCGUGCGCCUCGUCGCGCGGUUGGCAUAAAUGCCAAGUCCUCGGCGACGCACGCCACGACAAUCGGUGGUUGCGAAACCUCGGUUGCCCGUCGUGUGCGGUCGUCGCGCAUCGAGGGCUCGAAAAAAUUGUCGGGCUCCGGCUCGGCUUUCAACGCGACCCCAGGUCAGGCGGGGUUACCCGCUGAAUUUAAGCAUAUCAAUAAGCGGAGGA
This 391-nucleotide unclassified non-coding RNA is filed under the name soil metagenome. RNAcentral's name for it is "partial contains 5.8S ribosomal RNA, internal transcribed spacer 2, and large subunit ribosomal RNA". The stretch from base 1 to 122 matches the Rfam family "5.8S ribosomal RNA", at positions 35 to 154 of the family's 154-position model. The record is from RNAcentral.